CGGAACGUGCCCUGAAGUGGGGGAUAACGUAGCGAAAGUUACGCUAAUACCGCAUAUUCUGUGAGCAGGAAAGCAGGGGAUCGCAAGACCUUGUGCUUUAGGAGCGGCCGAUGUCGGAUUAGCUAGUUGGUGAGGUAAAGGCUCACCAAGGCGACGAUCCGUAGCGGGUCUGAGAGGAUGAUCCGCCACACUGGGACUGAGACACGCCCCAGACUCCUACGGGAGGCAGCAGUGGGGAAUUUUGGACAAUGGGCGCAAGCCUGAUCCAGCCAUGCCGCGUGAGUGAAGAAGGCCUUCGGGUUGUAAAGCUCUUUCGGCGGGGAAGAAAUUGCUUCGGCUAAUAUCCGGAGUAGAUGACGGUACCCGCAUAAGAAGCACCGGCUAACUACGUGCCAGCAGCCGCGGUAAUACGUAGGGUGCGAGCGUUAAUCGAAAUUACUGGGCGUAAAGCGUGCGCAGGCGGUUGUAUAAGUCAGAUGUGAAAUCCCCGGGCUCAACCUGGGAACUGCAUUUGAGACUGUACGGCUAGAGUGUAGCAGAGGGGGGUAGAAUUCCACGUGUAGCAGUGAAAUGCGUAGAGAUGUGGAGGAAUACCGAUGGCGAAGGCAGCCCCCUGGGUUACUACUGACGCUCAUGCACGAAAGCGUGGGGAGCAAACAGGAUUAGAUACCCUGGUAGUCCACGCCCUAAACGAUGUCAACUAGGUGUUGGAAGGGUUAAACCUUUUAGUGCCGUAGCUAACGCGUGAAGUUGACCGCCUGGGGAGUACGGCCGCAAGGCUAAAACUCAAAGGAAUUGACGGGGACCCGCACAAGCGAUGGAUGAUGUGGAUUAAUUCGAUGCAACGCGAAAAACCUUACCUACCCUUGACAUGUCAGGAAUCCCGGAGAGAUUUGGGAGUGCUCGAAAGAGAACCUGAACACAGGUGCUGCAUGGCUGUCGUCAGCUCGUGUCGUGAGAUGUUGGGUUAAGUCCCGCAACGAGCGCAACCCUUGUCAUUAAUUGCCAUCAUUCAGUUGGGCACUUUAAUGAGACUGCCGGUGACAAACCGGAGGAAGGUGGGGAUGACGUCAAGUCCUCAUGGCCCUUAUGGGUAGGGCUUCACACGUCAUACAAUGGUCGGUUCAGAGGGCUGCCAACCCGCGAGGGGGAGCCAAUCUCAGAAAGCCGAUCGUAGUCCGGAUUGGAGUCUGCAACUCGACUCCAUGGAG
This 1211-nucleotide ribosomal RNA is filed under the name metagenome. Its description in RNAcentral is "bacterial SSU rRNA". It matches the Rfam family "Bacterial small subunit ribosomal RNA", at positions 119 to 1325 of the family's 1533-position model. The record is from RNAcentral.